AAGACUCAGAGCCCCAGCUUGAAGGAAACAGCUGCUCUCGGCGUGCUCCGGCACUUGGCAGCUGGACAGGCAGAGUGCUGAUGUGAAAAAUACCACGACAAAACCACCCUAGUUCUCCAAAAUACUUAUCAUUCAGGUUGAAUAAACCAGUUCUACGGACUGCUUCUUCCGUGCAUUUCCCAAUGAUGCUAACUGCCCUUAAAAUUCUUUCAGAUUUGGAACUCUAUCUGUAUGGAAACAACAGACUUUUCUUGAAGUACAACUAAGGACAGGUUACCACUAGGCACUAACAUCGCUGACUUGCAUGAUUAUGGAGAUGGUCUAUCUGAUGCUGAAAAUGUCUCUAGUUUUUUGACAACGGCUAAAUAACCAUGGGAUCGAGUGGCCUUGGGAAAGCAGCAACAUUAGAUGAACUGCUGCGCACUUGCAUUGAGAUGUUUGAUGACAAUGGAGAGCUGGAUAAUAGUUAUUUGCCAAGAAUAGUUCUACUGAUGCACCGAUGGUAUUUAUCUUCCACUGAGUUGGCAGAAAAACUUCUCUGCAUAUAUCUUUUCAACUACUGUGUAAUUUUUACAAUCAUAAAUCAAGCUCUGUAUUUAGAUAGAUUGUCUAUCCAAAGCCAGUAAAUUAAGACGAAUAAAUAGUCUUUGGUUAUCCAGCUGUUUUGUGAAUAUAUAUAGAUGUCUAG
This 688-nucleotide small RNA is filed under the name Pan troglodytes (chimpanzee). Its description in RNAcentral is "retained intron". Lineage: Eukaryota; Metazoa; Chordata; Mammalia; Primates; Hominidae. The record is from RNAcentral.